CUACGGGACGCACCAGUGGGGAAUAUUGGACAAUGGGGGAAACCCUGAUCCAGCAAUGCCGCGUGUGUGAAGAAGGCCUGCGGGUUGUAAAGCACUUUCGGUUGGGAGGACUGCUUCUAGCACUAAUAUUGUUGGAAGUUGACGUUACCUUCAGAAGAAGCACCGGCUAACUCCGUGCCAGCAGCCGCGGUAAUACGGAGGGUGCAUGCGUUAAUCGGAAUUACUGGGCGUAAAGCGCGCGUAGGCGGCUAGAUCAGUCGGGUGUGAAAGCCCCGGGCUUAACCUGGGAACUGCAUCCGAUACUGUCUAGCUUGAGUACAGGAGAGGAGAGUGGAAUUCCACAUGUAGCGGUGAAAUGCGUAGAUAUGUGGAGGAACACCAAUGGCGAAGGCAGCUCUCUGGCCUGAUACUGACGCUGAGGUGCGAAAGCGUGGGGAGCGAACAGGAUUAGAUACCCUCGUAGUC
Molecule: ribosomal RNA, 465 nt
Filed under: uncultured bacterium
Lineage: Bacteria
Description: partial 16S ribosomal RNA
Rfam family: Bacterial small subunit ribosomal RNA
Source: RNAcentral